This 1641-nucleotide long non-coding RNA is filed under the name Paramuricea clavata. The record is from RNAcentral. Lineage: Eukaryota; Metazoa; Cnidaria; Anthozoa; Malacalcyonacea; Plexauridae.
GCUUUAAAUGCCAACUGUUCGAUCGUGGGAAAAACAUAGAAAAGCCAACACCACAAAAUGCUUAUAAUGGAUCAAAUGUUUAUAACUAUAUAUAAGUAUGCGCAAGAACGAAAAGCCAGAAAGAUCAGGAAUCUAACAACGAUAAAUGAACGACAAGACAUUUCUGUUUGUGAUGGAAUGCGUGGGUACUGCGAGGUUAUUAGCUUGACAUGGAAAACAUAAAGGGUAUUCCACGGAGGCCUCAAAAUCUAUACUUUCAUAACAGAAAUGAUGGUAUAUACGAGUAUGCCAACAAAUGGGUACUGAAAGCAAGACGUAUUACGAUGUCGUCGGUAUAUAUAUACAUUUAUAUGUAUAUUAGUACCAGGAAUUACUACCAAGUUAAGAUGAAAUAACUUGUUCGAAACGUUUACAUAUUGUAGUGAUGUGUGAGAAAGGUAUAAACCUUUACAGGGAUACACUUAAUAACAGAAUGGGGAAAAAAACGAUUAUACAUGUUUUUGUUUGACGCAAGAAUGUAAGUAAAAAUUUAUGUAAAUUAUGUCAGACCUAAACUAAAUAUUUAUGUCGGGGAUCAAAAAGGAUAACUAAGUAUAAAAACAAUUGAUGCACAAUUGACCCAAAGGUGUCAGCGGAACAGGCGCGCAUUGAACAUCUUAAACCGAAAGUAUAUAUAAAGUAGGCUAUAUAGUGCGUGCACAGCUGGGUAUUAUAUACGCAGAGCGAAUCAAAUUUUCGGACGAUUGGGUAAGUAUUAAGUUUUUCGUUUAAUUUUGUAAACUAAAACUAAACAAUUCAGUAUACAGUUAUAGCUUUUGACAAAUUGGGCAUAUAUAUACAUUCAUAUGUCCUUAAAAACAGAUAUAUUUUAGUCUACAAUGCGAAAUAUACUGAAAGAUAUAAUUUACAUUUCUCAUACAACCGUGUGUUGACAUAUAGGCUGGCAUACGGUAGUUUUCAAAUCCCUAGUUUCGUUAAAAGGGGGGAUUUCCACUGCACAACGUAAUUAUUGUUCAAAAAUAUAAGUUGGAAUAAAAAAAAUUGUUCCAAGGUUUCAAAUACAUUUUGUUACCGUUCGUUGAGCAUUGUAUAGAAUUAAUACCAAACACAAAAGUACAAAGUACAGUGAAAAUUUCCUAAAGAAUUGUUCAAUUUAUCUGAUUAAUAGAACACCUCUAUCAAUUACAUUAUUUAAACAGUUAUUCAUACAACUUACAAGCAUGAUCAGUGAUUAAUCAUAUGAUAUUUUCCAACAUCUAUAAGCAAGGCUCUCAUUGUUUUACUCAAAGAUAACUGCAUUUCAUUCAUCACGUUUAGGGGUAUAUUAUGACCUAUAGUUAUUAACUACAUUGGCUACCAUGUACUAAGUAACAAGAUCAAAAUAUUCUGUGAUGGUAACUGGAUAACUGAUACCACUAAUCCCCCAACUGAAAGUGAAAUUUGCCCCAUCUGUUGGAAGAGAAAAUUUCGACCAAAAGUAUAAAAAGAUUUCAAAGUUUUCUUCGCUCAGCCUGGGAGAGUGCUGGUUAAAUCAGCCAAAAUUCCUGAUUAGAACUGUUCAUGUUUGACGUACAGAUUUGAAAUGAUUUUAUUUUUGCGUUCCCAGAUCACAAAGACAUGGAUAAAGGAGGUAAAAGCCCU